Molecule: ribosomal RNA, 292 nt
Filed under: uncultured bacterium
Lineage: Bacteria
Description: partial 16S ribosomal RNA
Rfam family: Bacterial small subunit ribosomal RNA
Source: RNAcentral
CCUACGGGGGGCAGCAGUAGGGAAUCUUCCACAAUGGACGAAAGUCUGAUGGAGCAACGCCGCGUGAGUGAAGAAGGGUUUCGGCUCGUAAAGCUCUGUUGGUAGUGAAGAAAGAUAGAGGGAGUAACUGGCCUUUAUUUGACGGUAAUUACUUAGAAAGUCACGGCUAACUACGUGCCAGCAGCCGCGGUAAUACGUAGGUGGCAAGCGUUGUCCGGAUUUAUUGGGCGUAAAGCGAGUGCAGGCGGGUCCAUAAAGUUGAUGUGAAAGCCCUCGGGUCAAACGGGGAAAU